AAUACAGGAGGUCCAGCUCAAUUUGAAUUUCAGAUUCACAACAAAGAACUUUUUAAUAUAAGUAUGUCCCAAGCAACAUUUGGGACAUACUUAUACUAAAAAAUUAUUUGUUAUUUAUCUGAAAUUCAAAUUUAGCUGGGUGACAUAUAUUUU
This 153-nucleotide microRNA precursor is filed under the name Choloepus hoffmanni (Hoffmann's two-fingered sloth). RNAcentral's name for it is "miRNA (ENSCHOG00000014391.1)". The stretch from base 50 to 101 matches the Rfam family "mir-1302 microRNA precursor family". Lineage: Eukaryota; Metazoa; Chordata; Mammalia; Pilosa; Megalonychidae. The record is from RNAcentral.